GGCCGCGGGAAUUCGAUUCAGGCCUAACACAUGCAAGUCGAGCGGUAGAGAGAAGCUUGCUUCUCUUGAGAGCGGCGGACGGGUGAGUAAUGCCUAGGAAUCUGCCUGGUAGUGGGGGAUAACGUUCGGAAACGGACGCUAAUACCGCAUACGUCCUACGGGAGAAAGCAGGGGACCUUCGGGCCUUGCGCUAUCAGAUGAGCCUAGGUCGGAUUAGCUAGUUGGUGAGGUAAUGGCUCACCAAGGCUACGAUCCGUAACUGGUCUGAGAGGAUGAUCAGUCACACUGGAACUGAGACACGGUCCAGACUCCUACGGGAGGCAGCAGUGGGGAAUAUUGGACAAUGGGCGAAAGCCU
Molecule: ribosomal RNA, 357 nt
Filed under: uncultured bacterium
Lineage: Bacteria
Description: bacterial SSU rRNA
Rfam family: Bacterial small subunit ribosomal RNA
Source: RNAcentral